AAAAGACAAUUGUUUUUCAUUUAUGCCUCAGAGAUUAAAAAUCUGCAGAAAUCUCUCAAAGAAAAAAAAAAUUCACAAAAAUGCCUCAAAUUCCAAAUAAGUCGAUUUAGAUUUUUAAUAGGACAAUUGUGCCCUAACGGAAAGCAAAGAGAUUAUUCCCUUCUAAUCUUCCAAAACCCAUCUUCAACCUUAAUCUCAACCCAAAAUCACGCCAUUGCAGCCCUAAGAGCACGAAAUUUUUUCACAAUCAACGCAUCAGCCAUUAAUCAACAGAUGAUAACCUUCAAUUUCAAAAAUAUGAAGCAACAAAUCAUCAAGAACAACAAGUUUCCAGCAAAAUUAGAGUAGAAGAUGGUCAUCCGAUGGAUAUCAAAUCUUGAUGAUUUUUUCAAGGAAUUGGCUUUUGGUGUUCAGUGGAGACGACGACUACAAUGUUGAUGUCGAGUAUUAGCAUGUGACUGUAGAGUGGGGUUGUGUAUCUCUAUAAAUUUUUUAGAAUAGUUACAUGAAUCUACACAACUGUUUAGUCGGAAAUUUGUAUAAUAUUUAGAAGGAAUGUGAUUAGAAAUAGAGCAAAAGGUUUGUUUUGUGUGACACAUGUACAUGGCUAAAAUUAAGGGUGUCUCUUUGUUGAAAGUUAAUUGAUGUUAUAUAAGAUGGAUAUUAAGUUUAUAUA
Mercurialis annua (annual mercury) is the source of this 676-nucleotide long non-coding RNA. RefSeq lists it as uncharacterized. The record is from RefSeq and is a predicted model, not a curated record. Lineage: Eukaryota; Viridiplantae; Streptophyta; Magnoliopsida; Malpighiales; Euphorbiaceae. The transcript is spliced from 2 exons.